GCCCUACUGUGUUACAGUAGUAGCAGUAACAAAACCAUGAUGGUCUAAGGAUAUAAGCAAGUCAGAGGUGGUAGAAAAUGAUCCCAGUAAUUUGGUGUUCAGUGAGCAGGGCACAUUCUGCAUUGUUUUUCCACCACCGUGUCAUUCUGAGCAAAAAUGCUUCAGGGGAACACCACUGAACAGUUCUCUACAGAGACAGGACAAUACAGCAAAGGCAUGCACCACAUAUAUGGGAUCAGCAGACUGGGGUCAGAUCCAUGGGCUGUUCCAGAAAAUCUGGAUGCAAAAAGAAGAGUGGUAGAAUGCUUUGGGAACAGCUUUCGAAUGAUCCAAAGACCUCUCCGACAAUCUCCACUGUUUAGAAUAAGUUAUUGGAAAACACAGGUUAGAGCUUGCUCCAUCACCUGUCAUUCUUUUUAUCACACGUAAAAUCUGCUCAUGCACAUCUAUGUAGACAUUGAUACCUGGGUUGAAUGUGGUGCAGGAUCUUACUUUCCUUUUGUGGCUCUGCACACUGCUUGCUUCACUGCACAGAUUUUUCUUCAGCUGACUUGUGCUGUGAUUGCUGCGUGCCUGCAUGUAGUGGGGAGGAUGCCAUGUGCCCCUGUUUCAGCCUUAAACACUGCUAGAAAUUUUGUGAAGCGAAUUGUUUGCAGCAAUGAAUGAGUUUAUUGCAAUAUUCGACAAUAUGUGCCUAGAAACUAUCAGUUAUCUCACAUCCACUACAGGUAUUUGUAAAUAUUUCAAGUUAUU
This 753-nucleotide long non-coding RNA is filed under the name Anas platyrhynchos platyrhynchos (common mallard). Its description in RNAcentral is "lncRNA (ENSAPLG00000018336.1)". Lineage: Eukaryota; Metazoa; Chordata; Aves; Anseriformes; Anatidae. The record is from RNAcentral.